Molecule: non-coding RNA, 349 nt
Organism: Manis javanica (Malayan pangolin)
Lineage: Eukaryota; Metazoa; Chordata; Mammalia; Pholidota; Manidae
Source: RefSeq, a predicted model, not a curated record
CCGGAAGGUAAUUGUGAAGCAUCAACAUCAUUUAUUUUGACGAAUGUUAUCUCAGUACCAGGAAAAUCACUGUGAGAAAUGAAAGGAAGUCACACUCUGUCAUGUCUGCAGUACUGAAUGGUCAUCCAGGGGAGCUCUACCCAGUGGGAAGCGACCACACAGGAGCGCAAACAGCGGAAGCUGAGUCCUGUCAGGGGCUGGCUCCCACAACGAUAAGGAACACAGCACACGUACCCAGGAGAACAUGCCUGGGCUAGCCUGUUGGAAGAUGGGAGAUGGUACAUGAAGCAGAGAUGAGCUACCCCGAUUUCCCCACCUGUACCUGCCCUAGGUCAUGUGGCUGCUAGCU